GAGCAGCCCAGGGAGAGUCUCUGCGUCCUCCAGCCCCCGCUUCCCUUCAUGUCGGAGAUCCCAAGCCCGCAGCGAAGUCCGCAAAGAGCUUUCCCCGACGCCUACGAGACCGGAAGUGCCUGGGCCCAGGUGGAGGAAGGACCCGCGCGGCCUCCUCCGCGCUCUCCCUGGGGAGCACCAUUGAAAGAGAAUUAGACAAACUGGAGUCUACUCAGAAGAGGCUGUUGGGAAUGGCCCUGGCACCACAUCCUGAGCAGGCAUGGCCGAUGGAAUGGGGAGAAGACUCAGGUGAGGCUUGAGUGUGUCCUCUGAUGACUGAAGAGCCUUGGGAGCAAGCAUCCUUCCUGCUACUGUGUGUUUGCUGGUUCCAAUGAUACAUAAUUUGUGCUUUUCGUAAUUAAAGUAUUAUCCUGUA
This 415-nucleotide long non-coding RNA is filed under the name Pan troglodytes (chimpanzee). Its description in RNAcentral is "lincRNA". Lineage: Eukaryota; Metazoa; Chordata; Mammalia; Primates; Hominidae. The record is from RNAcentral.